This 254-nucleotide ribosomal RNA is filed under the name uncultured bacterium. RNAcentral describes it as "partial 16S ribosomal RNA". It matches the Rfam family "Bacterial small subunit ribosomal RNA", at positions 524 to 776 of the family's 1533-position model. The record is from RNAcentral.
UACGUAGGGGGCGAGCGUUGUCCGGAUUUAUUGGGCGUAAAGAGCUCGUAGGCGGUUUGGUAAGUUGGAUGUGAAAUCUCCAGGCUCAACUUGGAGGGGUCAUUCGAUACCGCCAUGACUAGAGUUCGGUAGGGGAGUGUGGAAUUCCUGGUGGAGCGGUGAAAUGCGCAGAUAUCAGGAGGAACACCCGUAGCGAAGGCGGCACUCUGGGCCGGAACUGACGCUGAGGAGCGAGAGCGUGGGGAGCGAACAGG